RNAcentral lists this ribosomal RNA (461 nucleotides) under uncultured bacterium. RNAcentral describes it as "partial 16S ribosomal RNA". It matches the Rfam family "Bacterial small subunit ribosomal RNA", at positions 338 to 795 of the family's 1533-position model. The record is from RNAcentral.
CCUACGGGUGGCAGCAGUGAGGAAUAUUGGUCAAUGGGCGGGAGCCUGAACCAGCCAAGUCGCGUGAGGGAAGACGGUCCUACGGAUUGUAAACCUCUUUUGCCGGGGAGCAACGGGGUCCUUGCGAGGGCCCGAUGAGAGUACCCGGAGAAAAAGCAUCGGCUAACUCCGUGCCAGCAGCCGCGGUAAUACGGAGGAUGCGAGCGUUAUCCGGAUUUAUUGGGUUUAAGGGGAGCGUAGGCCGCAUGUCAAGCGUGCUGUGAAAUGUCCGGGCUCAACCCGGGCCUUGCAGCGCGAACUGGCGUGCUUGAGUCCGCGGAAAGCAGGCGGAAUUCGUCGUGUAGCGGUGAAAUGCUUAGAUAUGACGAAGAACCCCGAUUGCGAAGGCAGCUUGCUGCAGCGGAACUGACGCUGAUGCUCGAAAGCGCGGGUAUCGAACAGGAUUAGAUACCCGUGUAGUC